RNAcentral lists this ribosomal RNA (460 nucleotides) under uncultured bacterium. RNAcentral's name for it is "bacterial SSU rRNA". It matches the Rfam family "Bacterial small subunit ribosomal RNA", at positions 33 to 507 of the family's 1533-position model. The record is from RNAcentral.
ACGCUGGCGGCGUGCCUAACACAUGCAAGUCGAACGAGGUCCAGGGAAGCUUGCUUCCUGAAGACCUAGUGGCGAACGGGUGAGUAACACGUGAGAAACCUGCCUCGGAGUGGGGAAUAACUCGGGGAAACUCGAGCUAAUACCGCAUACCUUCACAUGAUCGCAUGGUCGAGUGAAGAAAGAAUUUCGCUCUGAGAGGGUCUCGCGGCCUAUCAGCUUGUUGGUGGGUAACGGCCUACCAAGGCAACGACGGGUAGCUGGUUUGAGAGAACGAUCAGCCACACUGGGACUGAGACACGGCCCAGACUCCUACGGGAGGCAGCAGUGGGAAUCUUGCGCAAUGGGCGAAAGCCUGACGCAGCAACGCCGCGUGCGGGAUGACGGCCUUCGUGGUUGUAAACCGCUUUCAGCAGGGACGAAAAUGACGGUACCUGCAGAAGAAGCCCCGGCUAACUACGUG